Molecule: long non-coding RNA, 468 nt
Filed under: Homo sapiens (human)
Lineage: Eukaryota; Metazoa; Chordata; Mammalia; Primates; Hominidae
Description: non-protein coding lnc-SMIM34B-160:6
Source: RNAcentral
GGUAACUUCUUAGACCAAGUCUAGAAACAGUCUGAGGACAAUAACAAUUCCAUUCUAAAAAGAAUCUCCCAACAUUUCUUCUAUCUCAACCUCAACUGCAUCUGCCUGUGAACUUCCAGCUUACCAAGGCUCUAUAUCUUCUGGCAGUGACAAAGGCUCCUUCCAUGGUUGGUGUGAGUAGGCUUGGACACCUGCAGGGCAGACACCCAGGAAUAAUCAACUGGGCCUUCAGUGGUCCUCUUUUGCAGGGUCAAGAUAUGUAUUCAUUUCCUACCACCGUAGUGGAAGAGAGAUUUUCCCUAUCUUUACAACUGAUAGCAUUUCCAACAGUAAGCUGUGAGAUUCUGCUUGAAAUCACCUCUCAAACAAAUAAAAAACAGACCUGGGAGACAUGCUACACUCAUUCUGCUGAGGAAAUAGGGCAAGAAUAUUUUCUAAGACCCCGAACUCCAGAUAUGCGAUGGGGCA